Molecule: long non-coding RNA, 258 nt
Organism: Sycon ciliatum
Lineage: Eukaryota; Metazoa; Porifera; Calcarea; Leucosolenida; Sycettidae
Exons: 3
Source: RefSeq, a predicted model, not a curated record
AAAACAUACCCGAGAAUGAGCGUAGGUGCGAGAGUGGCUGCAUCGGGACUGUCUAUAAUUAUACUUGUGUUGAUGCUGAUACCACUUCUCAAAAUGCUAACAAAAAUGUCGCACAGCAGCAAAAAAGUCCAGUACCUACACCAGAGGUGAAGAAAGCCAAUCCACUCUUCACUGAUCAUGAGGGCAAAAUAGUUUGUUUCUACCUCCCAGCCGUCAAGCCUGGCUACUCAAGACAGCUGGUGGGGAUUGGACAACAUG